This 301-nucleotide ribosomal RNA is filed under the name uncultured bacterium. RNAcentral describes it as "partial 16S ribosomal RNA". It matches the Rfam family "Bacterial small subunit ribosomal RNA", at positions 509 to 807 of the family's 1533-position model. The record is from RNAcentral.
CAGUCGCCACGGGAAUACGUAGGUGGCAAGCGUUGUCCGGAAUUAUUGGGCGUAAAGGGCUCGCAGGCGGUUUCUUAAGUCCGAUGUGAAAGCCCCCGGCUCAACCGGGGAGGAUCAUUGGAAACUGGGAAACUUGAGUGCAGAAGAGGAGAGUGGAAUUCCACGUGUAGCGGUGAAAUGCGUAGAGAUGUGGAGGAAUACCAGUGGCGUAGGCGACUCUCUGGUCUGUAACUGACGCUGAGGAGCGAAAGCGUGGGGAGCGAACAGGAUUAGAUACCCCAGUAGUCCCUGUCUCUUAUAC